RNAcentral lists this ribosomal RNA (375 nucleotides) under uncultured bacterium. RNAcentral's name for it is "partial 16S ribosomal RNA". It matches the Rfam family "Bacterial small subunit ribosomal RNA", at positions 524 to 898 of the family's 1533-position model. The record is from RNAcentral.
UACGUAGGGAGCGAGCGUCGUCCGGAAUCAUUGGGCGUAAAGGGCGCGUAGGCGGUUUUUUAAGUCAAAUGUGAAAAUCCAGGGCUUAACUCUGGGACUGCGUUUGAAACUGAAAGACUAGAGAUCAGGAGAGGAAAGUGGAAUUCCUAGUGUAGCGGUGAAAUGCGUAGAUAUUAGGAAGAACAUCGAUGGCGAAGGCAGCUUUCUGGCCUGACACUGACGCUGAGGCGCGAGAGCGUGGGGAGCAAACAGGAUUAGAUACCCUGGUAGUCCACGCCGUAAACGAUGGAUACUAGGUGUAGGGGGUUCGAUUCCCUCUGUGCCGCAGUUAACGCAAUAAGUAUCCCGCCUGGGGAGUACGGUCGCAAGAUUGAA